Molecule: transfer RNA, 76 nt
Filed under: bacterium
Lineage: Bacteria
Also listed under: 1 other name
Description: tRNA-Arg
Source: RNAcentral
GGCCCGGUAACUCAAUGGAUAGAGUAGCUCCGUCCUAAGGAGAAGGUUAUGCGUUCGACUCGCGUCCGGGCUACCA